This 605-nucleotide unclassified non-coding RNA is filed under the name Hevea brasiliensis (rubber tree). Lineage: Eukaryota; Viridiplantae; Streptophyta; Magnoliopsida; Malpighiales; Euphorbiaceae. The record is from RNAcentral.
GAUAAACUAAUUUGUCCUUGAACCUGUAGAUAAAACAUCAGCAUAGCAAAUGAGCUUGAAAAGUAUGAAAAUUGAAAAGGAAUAUAAGUGAAAGUUUAAUAGAAGGAUAGAGAGAAUAUUUUGAAGGAUUAUCAUGCAAUUCGACCAUAAAAAGGAUAGACUAUAAAUAAGUUAACUAUGACCCAGAAUAUUAGGUAGUAAUAAUCACAUAGAAGGAGUAGAAAAUAGCUGUCCAGGACAUUUUGAGACCUCCAAAUACAAAAGCAGCUAUUGAGUAAGGCUGUUGAAAAUUGGGUGACUUAGAAAAGCAAAACAAGGCACAGCAAUCCAGUCAAUAUUAUGUAUAAACAUGCAAAAGCAUCAAAAUAUCACCUACAACACUAAAUUCCAUAAAAAUUUCUAACCUCACCUUUCCUUAUCUUUUUGUUUUGUGUUUUUAUGUAUGUUAAACUCACCAUCCUUUUCACACAUUGCUUUAUCCUGUGAAGAGCUCUUUAACAACUACUUCGCUCAAGGUUUAUGUAAUUAUAAUAUGUUCAUGGAAAUGAAACAAGAAAUUAGUUGUCAAUAACUUGAACCCUACUCCAAAAUAAUGGAACAGAAGC